CCGGGAUAGCUCAGUUGGUAGAGCAGAGGACUGAAAAU
Molecule: transfer RNA, 38 nt
Filed under: Picea likiangensis
Lineage: Eukaryota; Viridiplantae; Streptophyta; Pinopsida; Pinales; Pinaceae
Also listed under: 3 other names
Description: partial tRNA-Phe
Source: RNAcentral